Mus musculus (house mouse) is the source of this 5254-nucleotide RNA transcript. It is a transcript of the gene named solute carrier family 17, member 9, with no coding region annotated. Lineage: Eukaryota; Metazoa; Chordata; Mammalia; Rodentia; Muridae. The transcript is spliced from 12 exons. The record is from RefSeq and is marked validated.
ACUUGAGACUUUUAUAUUUACAUGAAAGAAAAAAAAAUGUGAUUGCCCCAUGUUACUUCCCAUUGCAGACUCUAACACACGUCUAUGCACUGGGUAAUGUGCCCUGAGAUAGUCUGUUCCAGAAGCCAAGAAUGGCUAUAGUGGUAUUAAGGCCUGGACAGUAAACCCAUUGAUGGGGUUACAUAUGAAUCUGGUGGACUGGUGGGGCAGGAAUGUGUGGUGUCAUGGCAGGUAUGACUAUAGUAGUCUGCUCUGUCUGCAGCUCAUUCAUGCCCCCUACAUCUAUGUCAGAUUACUGUCCAGUAUAACACUAACAGAAGAAAACUGCAGAACUGCUUGUACCCAACGGUAACCAUGAGAUGUGACUACUGGGUGCUUCCUGUCUGUGACUUUUGUUUUUCAAGAUUUUUUUAUAUUUACCCGUAUGCGUGUUCUGCCUGAAUGUAUAUCCAUGUUUCCUAUGUGUGUCUGGCGCCCACAAAGGUCAAGAGGGGGCAUCAGAUCCCUUGGAACUUGAAUUAUCGAGAAAUCAAACGCCUCUGUAAGAACGAGGGCUCUUUUUUUUGGGGGGGGGGGAGGUUCUCUGUGUAGCCCUGGCUAUCCUGGAACUCACUUUGUAGACCAGGCUGGCCUUGAACUCAGAAAUCCACCUGCCUCUGCCUCCCUAGUGCUGGGAUUAAAGGUGUGCGCCACCACGCCUGGCAAGAACGCCUGGCAAGAACGAGGGCUCUUAAUCAGCUCCUCACAUGUGACUUUUCAAGGAAGUACCUUCUUACAGGUCCUGAUAAACGUUCUCUUGCCUGGCCUUUCUGAAAGUCUGGUGGAGACUCUGGAUUGGGAGAUUUUUGGAAGGUGGCUACUACAGUGUAGUUGCUUUUCCUUCAUGUGACUGAUCAUCUCUUGAAUCUACUCUGCCAUGCAUGACUGCCAGACCUCAGAGGUGGGACCUGCAGUGCCUGGAAGUCAGUCUCUAAAUGGCUCUGACUUCCCCCUUCCUAUAAACACAUCUCACCCAUGUGCAUGCAUACACAGGAAUUAUCCUUCUUGUAGGUCAGAUGCCUGACAACCCCUCCAGCAUGGUUCUCAAAAGUAAAACAGGCUAUCCUGUCACCCAGAACUCUGGUAUAGCAAGUGAGGGAUACUGCUGGCUGAGGGUGACAGUGUUUCUCAGCAUUUGGGGUGUUUACAAGGUUCAGCUGAUGGUACCAGCAUCCAAAAAAAAGAAUGAACUGUUCCAGAGCCCCAGGGAUUGUUUUGUGAAUAAAACUGGCCAUACAGGAGCAUCUUCGGUCAUCGUGAGGUCCACUCUAUGGCUUCCUGUGGACUCAGACAUGGCUACUUGAACUUUUUCUCUACAGUGUACACAUUUGGCUUAGAAGGUGGAUGCAAAUGAUGUUCAGUACAGAAAUCUCUCUUCUUUUCAGGCAGGGUCUUACUGUGUAGCCCAGUCUGGCCCUAACUGCUACAGACAUCCAACACUACAAUCUGGGCUCCUCAAGUCUCACUUCUCACAGUUGCUCGUCAGUAACAGUGGAGUAAAAUCUAGUUAUUCAGUUUGAGCAGUCAAGAUGACUAUAAGCAAGUGAGUCAGUCAGCACAAGAAAGUGGCCCCCCUGCCAGACGUUGACUCUGUAAUGUUUCCAUAUCAAAUUUCCCAUCUUGAAGUGCAAGGAUGGUUUUGUCAGUUGGGUGUGGGGCAGCUCACAAGUAUCAACUAGAAGCCUAGAGAAUGUCUACCCCAGCUACUGCCAACAGCUUGUGAUGGUCACCUCCCAACCAUAUGUGAUCCUCUUUCAGGCAACUGUGGCUGUGCCCAUCCCUUCUGCUUUAGUGACUGGGAGCCUGGGGAGGAAUGCCCCCCCCAAACCCCUGACCUCAGCCUUCUCAACUCUGGCAGUGUAGCACCUCUCCACCUGCUGUGAGUCUCUGGCCUGAGAUGUAUACCCAACACCUUGUGUGGUAUGCUCCUGCUGACCUCAAGUGUCUUGCAGGUUCCUCCACCCAGCCUACUUAAGGUCACAUCCCUUCUCUACGUUUGUCCACCUGCUCCCAGAAACGCUGAAGGUUUCCUGCUGUGUGAUUCUGGAUCUUUCCUAGUUUCUGAAGAGCUGCACAUUAUAGUGAUUGUCAGUACCAUAUACUUAAGGGCAGUCCCUGGGUCACUAGGGAAGCAAGCCUUUCUCUGCCGUCAUCUUUGUGUCCUACAGGAUAGCUGAUGUGGAUGGAAGACUGACCUGGCUUUUAGGUCCAGAUUGUUUUUUUUCCAGAACUGGGGAUUGAGUUCAGAACCUUGCACACGUUGAACACACGCUUAACAACUGAGCUAUACCCUAGCUUCAGGUUCUAAUAUUUUAGUACAAGUGUGUAUGACCAUAAAUAAAGACCUGUUGUCUGCUGGGCAGUUGAAGGCUCAGAGGGCAUUCUCUGGAGGGUGGAAACUGUUGAGAUUCUAAGUGCAGUGUGAAGCCUUUAGUGGGUGUGUCCCAGUUGGCCUGCAGCUGUGUGGGGGAGGCAUUUGUUUAGAAUAAUUGGGAAUACAGGAGGAAUGAGGCAGGCAGUACCUCAAGGAGCCUCAGAAGCCUUCCAUGAAGUGUGGCUGAGAUCCAACUAGAGCCUAGUCUGUGGUCAGUGCUCAGAACACUUUUGCCCAGGAUUUCAACAUCAGUGACCACCUUCGCUGCCCUUUGCACCUGUGUUACAGUUCUCUUACCAACCCAGUUCUCCAAGAGAUCCAUUUUAAAAAAUUGACUGCCUUAAAGUUAUCUUUACAUAUUUACUAGACUAGAACACAACCCUGUGAGCACUCUGUCACUCCCCUCCACCCACCCACGGAGCGGGGGAGGGGGUAGAACCAACGGAGACUCAUACACACUGCUCACCUGCUCACUUUCCUGACAAGAAAGUUAUUUCUGGCGGGUCUCGGGCCACAAAACCCCCAGGGAUUUCUCUUCCCCAGCAGGAAGUCCCAGUGGUAAGCCUCUAGUUGCUCGAAGGUCCCUGGCCCUGCCUCCCGGGACAUCAGUGGGGCGGGGACUCAAUUCCGGGGGCAACACGUCCUGGGAGAGUUAGACGGAAGCACUGGGACUGACACGUGGACUUGGGCGGUGCUGCCCUGUGGGUUGUCCUAGGUCUGAGGUGGGAGGGCACGGUACACAGCGGUGCCCAUGCCAUCCCAGCGCUCUAGCCUGAUGCAGCCAAUCCCAGAGGAGACCCGCAAGACCCCUUCUGCGGCAGCAGAGGAUACACGGUGGUCCAGGCCUGAAUGCCAGGCCUGGACAGGAAUCCUGCUCCUGGGCACCUGCCUGCUGUACUGCGCCCGAGUCACCAUGCCCGUCUGUACUGUUGCCAUGAGCCAGGACUUUGGCUGGAACAAGAAGGAGGCUGGUAUCGUGCUCAGCAGCUUCUUCUGGGGCUACUGCCUGACUCAGGUGGUGGGCGGCCACCUUGGGGAUCGCAUCGGAGGAGAGAAGGUCAUCUUGCUGUCAGCCUCCGCCUGGGGCUUCAUUACUGUCACCACACCACUGCUUGCGCACCUCGGCAGCGGCCACCUGGCCUUCCUGACAUUCUCUCGAAUCCUCACCGGUCUGCUCCAAGGUGUCUACUUUCCAGCCCUGACCAGUCUGCUGUCCCAGAAAGUACAGGAGAGCGAGAGAGCCUUUACCUACAGCACUGUGGGUGCUGGCUCCCAGGUCGGGACCCUGGUGACUGGGGGCGUAGGCUCCGUGCUCCUGGACCAGUGUGGCUGGCAGAGUGUCUUCUACUUCUCAGGUGGCCUCACCUUGCUCUGGGCGUACUAUGUGUACAGGUACCUGCUGAAUGAGAAAGACCUUGUCCUGGCCCUGGGAUUCCUUGCUCAAGGCCUACCUGUGACCAAGCCCUCCAAAGUGCCCUGGAGACAACUAUUCCGGAAGGCCUCUGUCUGGGCGGCAAUCUGCUCCCAGUUGUGCUCUGCUUGCUCCUUCUUCAUUCUACUCUCCUGGCUGCCCACCUUCUUCAAGGAGACCUUCCCCAACUCCAAGGUUACAGAGUCAUCACGGUGCGUAAGUUCAUGCAGGUCAUGGGCCUUGGUCUGUCAAGCAUUUUUGCCCUGUGUCUGGGUCAUACCACAAGCUUCCUCAAGGCUAUGAUCUUUGCAUCAGCUUCCAUUGGCUUCCAGACCUUCAACCACAGUGGUAUUUCAGUCAACAUUCAGGACCUGGCCCCAUCCUGUGCUGGCUUCCUGUUUGGUGUAGCCAACACUGCAGGGGCCUUAGCAGGUGUGGUAGGCGUGUGUCUGAGUGGCUACCUGAUCGAGACCACUGGUUCCUGGACCUGUGUGUUCCACCUGGUAGCCAUCAUCAGCAACCUGGGGCUGGGCACCUUCCUGGUGUUCGGGAAGGCGCAGAGGGUGGACCUGGUCCCCACUCAUGAGGACCUCUAACUCCCUGACGAUCCAGUCACCCAGGACCUGAUGUCAGCAGCCUGAGGAUAACAACCCUGUCAGUGAAACGGAAUCUCCACCCCAGACGUAUGAGCAUACAGCAAGACCACAGUUUCCUGGGGAGGCCUGAGUACACACAGGCCUGUGUCAGGAGGAGGGUCAUGGCUCCAAAUCCGCUUGCCAGUCCCGCCCUCUCUCAGGUUCAGUGGGACUGCCACUGUUAAGGAAGCCACGUUGCUGAUGGGAGGUCUCACCGGCCACAGUGAGGGUUGUUUCCUGACAAGACUUUUGUGUUAAGGAUGUGUUGUGUGCUGGUAGAUGUUCAGGAGUGGCUCUGACCCCCAACCUACUCUGGGCACCUUCCUACCCCCAUCUCUCCAGCAACAAUAACCUAAGAUGUCUAUAGACAUUAGACCAUGUCUCCAUAAGACAGGCCCACUAGAAACACCGUUCAGAACCAUAGAGAAGCCAUGGUUUCUGCUUCUCUCCAGGAGUCAGGCUUGCCACUCCAGCUGGGCCGGUGUGCAGUGGGCCAGGGUCCUCACCUGCCUUGCAGACCCUGGUUCCCGCCCUGUGGAUCUCUCAGCACUACUGAUGUGUCCUGGGUUGGCAGGUGCCUGGCAGUCCAGACAUCACAGACCCCAGAACAAGGUGAAACCCCCCCCCCCCAUUUCUGGCCUUGUUUUUCUACCUCCCGCACUUAUUUCUUGUAGAGCUUGUGGUUUCAUGAGCUGAUAAUGAAUUCUCCAAGAUGCCUAUUAGAUUUUCUUUAUAGAUGUGGUGAGUCUUGCCAGAGCCUUAUUUAAGUGAAAACUAUUAAACUAUUUAAAGUAA